RNAcentral lists this unclassified non-coding RNA (24 nucleotides) under Mus musculus (house mouse). RNAcentral describes it as "oocyte_clustered_small_RNA5688". The record is from RNAcentral. Lineage: Eukaryota; Metazoa; Chordata; Mammalia; Rodentia; Muridae.
UGUCGGCUCCGGGUCCCAGCUGCA